Molecule: non-coding RNA, 7624 nt
Organism: Odocoileus virginianus texanus
Lineage: Eukaryota; Metazoa; Chordata; Mammalia; Artiodactyla; Cervidae
Source: RefSeq, a predicted model, not a curated record
CUGGUCCCCGGCGGCCACGCCCACCGGCCCGAACUGGGAUCGUGGGGGUCGCAGGGAACGUGUAUGGCGAGGAUGUGCUGGCGCGGCCCGGGAACAGCUUUCCUUUCGGGACCCCUGGAUCCAGACCAGCUCAACUACAGCUAUGAAAACAGACCCGUGUCCCCCAGAAUUUUUAACCCGUCCUUAAGCUGUGGUCGUGCCUGGGCAACUCAGGACCCUAUAUCCAAGGAGAGUGGUGGGGGACCAUUUUCAAAACCAAGCGGAGGAAACGGCGGCCAAUUAAAAUGACAUAUUUUUAUUUGCCUCGCACGUUGUCAGUGAUUUGCCCCCGGGGAUCCACAAUUUUCCCAAGCCUGUUAACGGGUGACGAUGAAUGAGUGCCUCGUGUAAUUUAAUUUUCCUGUCACACUAAAUAGAGCUACAUUGUAAACCUUAGAUCUACUCUUACUGAUAGGAUCGCCUUGUUUUGCCAUUUGCACCAUAAAGACCCCCAAAAGGGACACUGUAUUGUGACCUCUACUCUUGAAUUAUUCAAGAACUUAAUGACAUUUUCCAUUUUAAAAAGGGGAACUAAUUGCCAUUGAUGUAAAGCAUGUGACCUUCUCUGGGUGCCCAGUAUGAGAAUGUAGCCAUCUGUAUUCGGACCCCAGAGCUGGGAAACUGCAGGAUGCUGGCAAAAUAGGAGAAAGAUGUGAACAGAAAUGAGCUUCAGAUGGACACUGGAUUCAAACAUAUUGUUCAGUUUCACCCCAAACCAUGACUUAGACUUCUGCAAAAUCCUCUAAUCCAACCUAAAAUUUGUAUCAAAAAAACCUAUCAACUCAGGCCUGUUUUUUGGGCAUGACAUGACUUUUUAGCUAUGACAGGAACAGUAAAAAUUGUAAAAUCCACUAGUCCUUCAUUAAUGUUAAAUACUUUGUGUAAUAUCAAGCAAAAUAUAUAAUCAUCUACUCCCCUCCUCCCGUUCUUUCUUUUGGCAAUGAAACAACUGUAAAGAAAUUGAACCCUGAUAUUUGCUAUUUGAAAAUCAGUCUUGAGUUUCUAGGAAAGCCAGUGCUGAAAUUCUUCAGUAUCAGAAUUCUCACUUUUCAAAUUACUUGAAAAUGGAGGCUUAUCUUUCCUCAAAGUAAAAAGAGUUCUGGUGUAUUCUCUACUUGUCUUUCACUCUUUCCCCAGCCCCCAGAGGAAAGAAAAGUAAGAGAAAAUGAGAGAAAACUUCUACCAAUGUUGUCUGGCUUCAAAAAUUCACAGAUGAGUGGAUGAAGAUGAUCUGAUGGUUUCCCUGAUUCAUCUAAGUCCACUGCCAGGAUUAACUGUGAUAAAGUCUGAGUGGGUUGGGAGGUAAAAUACUUUCCCGUGUUGGGCUGCAGAUAUUUCUUUUGAACUUUUUAAAGUGAUGCCUGAGACAAGGAACUGUCAUUUCUGCAUCGAGUGGGCAGUUCUUUUUAAAACGACACCGAAUGGACAGAAUUCUGGCUUCACAGAGAUGAAAUAGCCUCUGCAUGAGGCUGCAAAUCCACAUCUUUCUCUUGUAGCAUCAUUGGAAAAGAAUAUGAGGUGCGUUUGAACAUUUAACUUGGUUCUAAUGAAGCCCACAUUACGUCAACAAGCUGGACGGGAUCACUGCUGGGGCCAGCCAGAAGUCAGGAUAGAAUGCCCAGCCCUUCAUCUGUACAGGGGUGUGUGUGCUUAAUCUCUCAGUAGUGUCCGCCUCUUUGAGACUCCGUGACUGUAGCUUGACAGGCCUGUCCGUGAGAUUCUCCAGACAAGAACACUGGAGUGUGUCGCUGUGCCCUCCUCUGUACAGGAGUAGUGUUGUUUUAAAGGAGUUUGUUAUAAGGCUGUUGUUGCCCAAAUCAUAUAACAGAGCAACUGUUUUCGUAUUUCUUUAAAAGAAACCCGUUUCCCUCCUUUCCUUCGGAUCAUGCUUUCUUUGUGUACAACAUGGCAGAAAAAAAUUGUAUAAGGACACAUAGUUCUUAUUGUCAGAUAAUAAGGACAUACUUAAGAAAUAUGUUUGAAACCGUCACAAUAUUAUCGAGUAAUUAUCUCCCAGUUACAAAUAAAAUUAAAUUUAAGAAAAGAAAACAUUUCAAGUCAAGAAAACAUAUGGAGUGUCAAUCCAUCUUCUUGAAUAUUUCCUGUGAUAAAGACAACACUUUCUGGGUCAGAUGUUAAUUUAAUUAUAGAGAUUUUUCAUUUGGUUCUCAACAUUUAAAAAUGUUUCCAACAACCUGCUGUAGACUAUGUGACACACAAGAAAUUAUACAUGUCUCUCUAGCACUGUGUAGUGUCAUAAUCCAGUAAUUUUUUCAUGGUGACAGUAGGCACUAGAAAUGAAAAUUUCAUUCACUUUUCAAACUGUCACCAUGGAUAAGUUAUAGUUAUUUUUCUUCUCAUUUCAAAAAGCAACCCUCUUGCUCUGGGAUCACUUGAAGUACAUUUUAAGUGCUGUGGAAAAGUUUGUGGCAUCUUUAGGGCAUGGCAAAUCCCUCUCCUGGCCUCAUUUUUGGGUCUCACCGCCUUCUGAAUGGAUUUCUGUGUUGAUAACUCAUAGAGCCUGGAGGGAGGGAUUCUAUCUUGACUGCACUCAAAUGGAAGGUGCUACAGGGAUAUGCAAGAGAUUCUGAUUUAGGGCCAUGUUUCAUCCAGUUCCCAUCAUCAGUUUUCCCCUGCCCUCCAAAACAGAAGGCAGGAAGAAAGAGAAAAGAAAACAAAAAACAACGUUGAAACAUAUUCCCUUUUGGCCAUUCUUGAAAAGGUAAGUACCUCAUCCACAGGGCAGGAAGCCAUUGUAGUGUUUCAUUUGGAAAUGGGCUCUUUAUUUCUCCAUCAAGCCUGGUGGGAAGGGCUGCACUGGGCCUUUGCGUUUGUAUCUGUUGGUUUGGGUGGAGUUCAAGAGAUAACCAAGAGAUCACUUUGGUUCUUUGUCAAGAUGCUGUAUGCUCACUGAAAGGGAAGAAUGAGACAAUUAUUGAGGGGCAAAGUGAGUUAACUUGGGAUACCUAGGCAGAUAAAUAUAAUCAGGCCAGCUUGUGCUUUUUCACAUAAAAUGUCUUCAGUUUCCUAGGUUCCAGAGGGGUUGAGCAGCAGCUGGGGGCUGGGGGCUCAUCCUCCUCUGUUAACUGACCCCCAAGAAGACCAAGAGGGGCGUGUGUUCACCCUCUGCCUGAAUUUGGUUACAUCCUUCAUCUCCUUUACAUAUUUUAACUGCUUGAUAUAUGUGUGUUUUUUUUUUUUUUUUUUCAGUGUCAGCAUUAGAGACAUUUGAUGCUAACUUUCUAUCUGGUUCCAUUUAUCUGAAUGUGUCCACCCAAAUACAUUUACUGGACUUCUGACUGUCCAUUUUUCUUUCCUGGGGAAUGACAAUAAACCAGGAUACCACUGACACGAUGGCUAAAAAUACCUUUGGAAAAACUCAGUUUCUUCUGCUUAGCCAAUACUUGUUUCGUAAACAGGGAUUGCAGCUUGCAUCUGGGUCAGGACCCUGCUUAUGCCAGGAGACAGCUAUGCAGGAUCCGUAAAUGUGCCUUUUGGUGUAGAAACACCCUGCUCUAUACGUCCACUUUCUUCUGGGAGGUUGUGGGGGGUGGGAGUUACAAAACUCCUACAGGAUUUUUCACCUGGUGGGUGAAGCUCACAUGUUACCAGUAUAGCUUCUCCAGGAUGCAGAUUAAAUGUGUGGCUCAUGGAGUAAUUAAACUGUGGACAAAACAUGCCUUGAGUUCAUGGAGGCUGAAUACUCUGGACAUAAAAGCCACCAACUUUGUAAUGAAAAUAUAGGAACUUUUCAAAAUAGGCCAUCAAGAUGUGGUUUACUUUUCAAACAAGAUUCUAACGACGGCCUAACCCUCUUUGACUGUAUUCUUCUGUUUUCUGUAGAUUUGCUUAUUCACAGAUACUGGGACAAAAAGAUGGGAUGGAGGGAGGAUGCUUGUGCUCCUAAGAAGCACACAGGCUUCUCCCAGUGCUGAACUCUGACCUUCACAGGAGAAUCCCUAAAAGUCCAUAACCCUGCAGUCAGCCUCCUCCUGGGGACCUUACCCCAUAGUUCCCCAUGAAGGUCUGGGGAGUGAGGUGGGUUCUGGACAUGAAUAUGAGCUCUCAGCACCAGGGAAGCAAUGCAUGAAAAUCAUGAUUUACAGACUUGGGCCAAACUACCAGACCAACAACUGCCAGAACUAGUCAGCACCAAGAUACAAAAACAUAAAACAUUAAAGUUGCCCAAGUAGAAACUUAACCUCCCCAAAGUUACUGAAGCUUCUGAUGAAUGAAGAACGAUGAGCAGCAAGUUGUCUAAGUCCUUGGCCGAAGGCAUCAUUACUUCUCAAUGACCAGAUAAAGUCCAUGAGCUCAGAGUGAUUGUUUGGGGGCAAAAAUGGUCCAGGACCCAUCCCUUGAGGAUUUCUUUGCUGGCCAAUAAAGCAUGGGCAAUUGGCCACUGCCUCACGGAAGGGGCAAGAGUGGCCAGCCUGGAAACAAGCCCCAUGAGCUCCCCCCAGGCGGGUGCCUGUGCCCCAAGGAGCCCAGAACCUGAUUGGCACACGCCUCGAUGCCUCUGCCAUCUGCCCAGCACCACACACACUUGCAGUGCUGACGAGGACACAUCCCCAGAGGGAGGCUGGCCAGGACCCAGGCAAGACCAGUGUGGACAGGGCUGUACCGCCCUUAACUCCAUUUCUAGGUAUUAGGGUAAAGAAAGCCCCCCCCAACCCCCGCAAAAAGGAUGGAACUCAACUUCUUUUUUGAAGACUGAGGGUCCCUCACAAGCUUCAGGGGGGUUUUCUAACAUAGUGUUAUUUUUUCAGCGUGCUUUGUCUCUGUGGAGAGGCUUCAGAAGGCCCUUGAAGUCCUCAGCCUUAAAUCCGUGUUAAUAGGGGAAGUCUCUUCUCUCUCUCUCUUUUUUUUUUGGUGGUGGGGAGGUUUGACUGGGAGCAGCGCUGACCCAGCCGGCACUCGGGCAGACCCACUAUCAUCGGCAGGGCACUUAUUAACCAGCGCUCAUUUGCAGGAUCAAUAUUUCCAGAAAAAGAGUUCACACUGCAGAUACACCACUAUGUCUCAUUUUUUUUUCCCUUGACAGACGAUUUAUUUUAUAAAUAAAUCUGCUGGAGAAGAAAAGGCUGUCCGAAGGACUGUGUCUUUUAUCUCUGGGAUAUGCAAAGCACAUUUAUUUUCAGCUUUUAUCUCCGGAAUUGUAUGCUGAUCCCAUACAUAUAGAUUGAUUUUGUUCAGGUAGAUAAUGAAAAGUCAAGUGGAAAAUUACACAAUGGCACUCGCGAUCCUGGUCUUAUAUUGGUAUAUAAAUUGGUUUAUUAUUUCAUUCUAUUAAAGAGGCUUUUUUUUUUUUUUUUGGUACCAGGAAAACUUCAAAAUACAUCAAGUUGUCAGCCUCACUGAAUUUUCUUUUGGGGGAGGAAGAGAGGAGGGGGUAGGGGGAGGUAAUUUCUCUGGCUGCUUCUGUUAAUUGUAUGAGCUAAAUGAGCUUGUACUGGGCCACUUCGAAGUCACUCAUGCAGUUUCUGUAACUCUGGGACAUUCCUGGGGCCAGGACAAAGAUAACCAUCACACAUGUCCUGAUACACAGGUGGAUAUUUUUUCACUCCAGGCAUUUCUAAAUUUUGUCACGAUGACGGGAAAAGAGGCAAGCCACUCUCCCAUUGACUGCACCACCACCCCCAGCACCAAGAGGCCAGGGGGUUGAAGGUGGCAGCCAGAUAAAGGCCACCACCAAGGGACAGCUUGGAGCCAGAAUCCUGAAGGAAACGUUAUUAAUAAACAUCUCCUGGACAUUUGGUAGCCCGUGGAGUCUGCUCCAGCUUAAAGCAAUUAAUUCAGGACACUGACAUAAACUCUCCAGGUCUUUGACAGCUUGGAGCCGAAAUAAAAAUGCUAGUUCUCCGGGGAAGAGAAGGGGAUGGCUAGCUCUUUUCUGGACUGUUUGCUUAUAGGCCCAGAGAGCAACCUUCCUUGCCGAAUGAAAUGCAAGGGCACAAACAAUGUACCAGGGAGAGAAUGGGAGAUGGGAAUGAACAGUUUGAACUAUUUGCUCAGCAGAAGGGCACCACAAUGCGGGGCUGGUGGCUUUCCCAUGCAGCCACCAUCCCUUCUUUGCGGUCUUUUGUUGUGGCCUGGCUCCUUUGGCCAGAUAAGAGCACAGCUGCAGCCUUGCAGCUAAGUAAGGCUGCACUCAUCCCCCUAAAUCUCGGGGUGUCUUUACUGUAACGGGUGAGGCGUGGCUGUCUUUUCUUUCACAGGGGACAGUGAGGGAGGGAAGGGCAGAAUGGAGCGGGGGACUGUGACUUGCCAGGCCGGCAUCCGAAUUCCUGAGUUUUUUCUUUCUUUCUGAAAUCCAAGCUGUGAUCAGGCAGGAUCUUUGUGGAGUAUUUCAAUGGAAGGGUUCAGUGACUUGUAUUGGUUACCAAGCCAAAAUGUUGCCUUUGGGGGAACGGAAGGGGAGGAGGUGAGUGUGUAAAAUUGGGAAGGGGAAGGGAGGCAAAAUCUUUGGUUUAAACACUCACACUCCUACAGCUACUGAAAAGAAGGGGAAGUUUUGAAUUAGCCAUUUUGAAACUGUUCAAUGAUGAUUUUGUCACUUCUGAAAAUCAUUUUGGACUCAUCCUUUUCACAGUUAAUCUGUUCAGAGUCCUAGUGAAUAGAGGUUGCCGGAAGCAGAGUGAGAACAGAAUGAGCUGUGAUGGGACAUAAAACAUGUUUGUAAUUUCUGUAAAUUACUCCUUUAAUCAAAGCAAAUGUCUCCUAAGAUAUGAUUGAAAUGUUCUUUCCCAUUUGCUCUUUUAAAGUCAGAGCCUAUUUUAAAUGCCAUAAGAGAAAGUAGAUGUGAUAAUAAUAUAAAAAUAAGCAUAAAGUAUGGUUUACAUUAGGUUGGUUUUAAAGUUAAGAUCUGCCUCAUCUGUGUGUUCAAACUCGGUGGGUUUUGCCAUGGACGUUGGUUUGGGAGCUGGGCGACAAGGCUGCAUUCUAUUCUAAUAAGGUUUUUUUAGCUUGAAAGGCUUUAUAAGGUGAAAAGGCAAAAAGUUUAACUCCAAAGAAAAUGAAUAGUUUACUAAAAUUGCACAAAAUGUUCUCAGACCAGAAAGCCACCUGCAGGAAAUACGAAGUUUCAAUGCUGUUUGUGUGUGUGUGUUUUUUUUUUUCACACUGACAAAAACCCACAGGAAAAAACCCCGCUGUGGAUUUUUCCUGCUGAAUUGUCAGACGGGAAGGCCAUGAAACCAAAGGCUGUCCAUUGAGAUGCAGCUCCCGAAGACCGACCUCACGGGCGGCCCCGCAGGAAACAAAGCUGUGUGUCUACGCCGGGACCCCUCGCGCCAGCCCCACGGCCAUGGCCAGGGCCAUGCAGGAUAGGGUGACCCUGCCCACCCACGUGCUCAGCGACUGCCCACUUUGCUCAGGAUAUGCUGUGGGAGGCCUUUGUCCAGUAGAGCUGCGAAGUAGUUUUAACACCAAGGAGAUCAAAGUUAGUGAAAAGGGUUUGUGUGUGUGUGUAUGUGUAUGUGUGUGUGUGUUCCAGCCUGUGUGCAAUGCAGGGAAAGGGGAUGGACAACAGGGAUGUGUUCUUUUAGGUAUUUGCACAUUUGAUGGCCCCAGCGAAAGACCAAAA